GCCUGUGUGGCUCAGUGGUUAGAGUGUUGGUCUGCAAAGGGUCACAGGUUCGAUUCCCAGUCAAGGGCA
This 69-nucleotide transfer RNA is filed under the name Myotis brandtii (Brandt's bat). It matches the Rfam family "tRNA". Rfam says of the family: Transfer RNA (tRNA) molecules are approximately 80 nucleotides in length. Their secondary structure includes four short double-helical elements and three loops (D, anti-codon, and T loops). Lineage: Eukaryota; Metazoa; Chordata; Mammalia; Chiroptera; Vespertilionidae. The record is from Rfam by way of RNAcentral.